GAACAGGAUUAGAUACCCUGGUAGUCCGCGCCGUAAACGAUGGGCGCUAGUUGUGGGGACCUUCCACGGUUUCUGCGACGCAGCUAACGCAUUAAGCGCCCCGCCUGGGGAGUACGGUCGCAAGAUUAAAACUCAAAGGAAUUGACGGGGACCCGCACAAGCAGCGGAGCAUGCGGCUUAAUUCGACGCAACGCGAAGAACCUUACCAAGGCUUGACAUAUAGCGAAAAGCGGCAGAGAUGUCGUGUCCGCAAGGGCGCUAUACAGGUGGUGCAUGGUUGUCGUCAGCUCGUGUCGUGAGAUGUUGGGUUAAGUCCCGCAACGAGCGCAACCCUCGUUCUGUGUUGCCAGCAUUUAGUUGGGGACUCACAGGAGACUGCCGUGGUUAACACGGAGGAAGGUGGGGAUGACGUCAAAUCAUCAUGCCCCUUAUGUCUUGGGCUGCACGCAUGCUACAAUGGCCGAUACAAAGGGCUGCAAUACCGUGAGGUGGAGCGAAUCCCAUAAAGUCGGUCUCAGUUCGGAUUGAGGUCUGCAACUCGACCUCAUGAAGUCGGAGUUGCUAGUAAUCGUAGAUCAGCAACGCUACGGUGAAUACGUUCCCGGGUCUUGUACACACCGCCCGUCACGUCACGAAAGUCGGUAACACC
This 649-nucleotide ribosomal RNA is filed under the name uncultured Actinomycetes bacterium. Its description in RNAcentral is "bacterial SSU rRNA". It matches the Rfam family "Bacterial small subunit ribosomal RNA", at positions 770 to 1421 of the family's 1533-position model. The record is from RNAcentral. Lineage: Bacteria; Bacillati; Actinomycetota; Actinomycetes.